Molecule: non-coding RNA, 72 nt
Organism: Haemonchus placei
Lineage: Eukaryota; Metazoa; Nematoda; Chromadorea; Rhabditida; Trichostrongylidae
Source: Rfam
GUCUCGGUAGUGUAAGGGAUAGAGCACGGUGCCCGGAAGGCAGAUGUACGGGUUCGAGUCUCAUCCGAGACU